Non-coding RNA from Glycine max (soybean), 130 nucleotides. Lineage: Eukaryota; Viridiplantae; Streptophyta; Magnoliopsida; Fabales; Fabaceae. The record is from Rfam.
AAAAAAGCAGGGGUGUGUUGCCUGUGUGAGCAUGCCUCUCGUAACCUUCAGGGAUAUAAUAACCAUUGUUAUUGGGUGAACCUCUGUUCCCUAUUUGUGACUGAAAGGUUCAGUAAAUGAUGGAACACAG